AGAGUUUGAUCAUGGCUCAGGACGAACGCUGGCGGCGUGCUUAACACAUGCAAGUCGAACGGUUCUCGAAGUUCGAGGUUGGAUGUUCGAAGUUCGAUUAAGAAACAAUUGGCAAAGCCAAUUGCCGAUUAUUAAAGUUUUUUUCGAAUCUCGAAUCUCGAACCUCGAAUUUCGAGAAUAGUGGCGGACGGGUGAGUAACACGUGGAUAACCUGCCUGUAAGACCGGGACAACACCUGGAAACGGGUGCUAAUACCGGGUAAGCUCUUUAGCCCGCAUGGGCAGAAGAGGAGAGGGGAAACCCGCUUACAGAUGGGUCCGCGGCCCAUUAGCUAGUUGGCGGUGUAACAGACCACCAAGGCGACGAUGGGUAGCCGGCCUGAGAGGGUGACCGGCCACACUGGAACUGAGACACGGUCCAGACUCCUACGGGAGGCAGCAGUGGGGAAUCUUCCGCAAUGGGCGAAAGCCUGACGGAGCAACGCCGCGUGAAUGAUGAAGGCCUUCGGGUUGUAAAAUUCUGUCUUCAGGGAAGAAAAAAAUGACGGUACCUGAGGAGGAAGCCCCGGCUAACUACGUGCCAGCAGCCGCGGUAAUACGUAGGGGGCGAGCGUUGUCCGGAAUUACUGGGCGUAAAGGGCGCGUA
Molecule: ribosomal RNA, 645 nt
Filed under: uncultured bacterium
Lineage: Bacteria
Description: partial 16S ribosomal RNA
Rfam family: Bacterial small subunit ribosomal RNA
Source: RNAcentral